GGGCCGUUGGGAGGACCGAGCAUACGACCUAAAAAUGAUCACGGAAAACUAUGGAGAAAAAAUCAUAGCCGAAGAAGUACAAGACCGACUACCGUACGGGAUGGAUUGUUUCCCAGUUCUUCACGCCGACGAACUCUGCAUUAUUCUUGCAAGGCUACUACCAGAAGGAAAAAAAGCGGAAUGCACGUACUGGGUUCGCAGAAGUCACGUCGAAAAUCGCAACUGGAAAUGUGACUUCAUUUUCGACGAAUUUUGCAGAAACCAAGCAAUUGUAGUACAUAAAAGGGACGAAUGUAAAUAA
Long non-coding RNA from Rhipicephalus sanguineus (brown dog tick), 301 nucleotides. RefSeq lists it as uncharacterized. Lineage: Eukaryota; Metazoa; Arthropoda; Arachnida; Ixodida; Ixodidae. The record is from RefSeq and is a predicted model, not a curated record. The transcript has 4 exons.